CGCCGCGUAGUCUACUUGGAUGUUGUUCGCUUGAGGAGUGGCUUCCGGAGCUAACGCGUUAAGUCGACCGCCUGGGGAGUACGGCCGCAAGGUUAAAACUCAAAUGAAUUGACGGGGGCCCGCACAAGCGGUGGAGCAUGUGGUUUAAUUCGAUGCAACGCGAAGAACCUUACCUACUCUUGACAUCCAGAGAACUUAGCAGAGAUGCUUUGGUGCCUUCGGGAACUCUGAGACAGGUGCUGCAUGGCUGUCGUCAGCUCGUGUUGUGAAAUGUUGGGUUAAGUCCCGCAACGAGCGCAACCCUUAUCCUUUGUUGCCAGCGAUUCGGUCGGGAACUCAAAGGAGACUGCCGGUGAUAAACCGGAGGAAGGUGGGGAUGACGUCAAGUCAUCAUGGCCCUUACGAGUAGGGCUACACACGUGCUACAAUGGCGCAUACAAAGAGAAGCGACCUCGCGAGAGCAAGCGGACCUCACAAAGUGCGUCGUAGUCCGGAUCGGAGUCUGCAACUCGACUCCGUGAAGUCGGAAUCGCUAGUAAUCGUGGAUCAGAAUGCCACGGUGAAUACGUUCCCGGGCCUUGUACACACCGCCCGUCACACCAUGGGAGUGGGUUGCAAAAGAAGUAGGUAGCUUAACCUUCGGGAGGGCGCUUACCACUUUGUGAUUCAUGACUGGGGUGAAGUCGUAACAAGUAAACCGUAAAGGGUGCGCCGUGCCUUCUAAA
RNAcentral lists this ribosomal RNA (725 nucleotides) under Pantoea sp. Its description in RNAcentral is "bacterial SSU rRNA". It matches the Rfam family "Bacterial small subunit ribosomal RNA", at positions 798 to 1533 of the family's 1533-position model. The record is from RNAcentral. Lineage: Bacteria; Pseudomonadati; Pseudomonadota; Gammaproteobacteria; Enterobacterales; Erwiniaceae.